CACAAAACGUCUCCUAUCCAGGCAAGACAGCAAACUGAUGGAUUUGGCAUCCAAAGUGUUGGUUCUGCUUUCCUGAGUUGCCCUCACGUACAAAUUGAGCCGACACGUUUCUAUUCAUAGGCUCUUUCCUUACUAGUCCCAGAGGUCUCUCAGACCGUGCCUGGACUCAGGUUUAAUGUUGCUGAACCUUGGAUCACUCCAUGAGCGAUACGCAUGACUAAAGAGGCGUCCAUUCCGGCUCACUCCGAAGUUUUCCCUGCUG
Molecule: non-coding RNA, 262 nt
Organism: Pelobates cultripes (western spadefoot toad)
Lineage: Eukaryota; Metazoa; Chordata; Amphibia; Anura; Pelobatidae
Source: the annotation of a GenBank genome assembly